UACAGAGGUCUCAAGCGUUGUUCGGAUUCAUUGGGCGUAAAGGGUGCGUAGGCGGCGCGGUAAGUCGGGUGUGAAAUCUCGGAGCUUAACUCCGAAACUGCAUUCGAUACUGCCGUGCUUGAGGACUGGAGAGGAGACUGGAAUUUACGGUGUAGCGGUGAAAUGCGUAGAUAUCGUAAGGAAGACCAGUGGCGAAGGCGGGUCUCUGGCCAGUUCCUGACGCUGAGGCACGAAGGUCAGGGGAGCAAACGGG
This 253-nucleotide ribosomal RNA is filed under the name uncultured bacterium. RNAcentral describes it as "partial 16S ribosomal RNA". It matches the Rfam family "Bacterial small subunit ribosomal RNA", at positions 524 to 776 of the family's 1533-position model. The record is from RNAcentral.